UGGGAAACGGGUUAAUAUUCCCGUACUUCUUACAAUUGCGAUGGGGGGACGGAGAAGGCUAGGUGGGCCUGGCGACGGUUGUCCAGGUUCAAGUGCGUAGGCUUGAGAGUUAGGUAAAUCCGGCUCUCUUUAAGGCUGAGACACGACGUCGAGCACCUACGGGUGUGAAGUCAUUGAUGCCAUGCUUCCAGGAAAAGCCUCUAAGCUUCAGAUUGUAAGGAAUCGUACCCCAAACCGACACAGGUGGUCGGGUAGAGAAUACCAAGGCGCUUGAGAGAACUCGGGUGAAGG
Molecule: ribosomal RNA, 291 nt
Filed under: Vibrio parahaemolyticus
Lineage: Bacteria; Pseudomonadati; Pseudomonadota; Gammaproteobacteria; Vibrionales; Vibrionaceae
Description: partial 23S ribosomal RNA
Rfam family: Bacterial large subunit ribosomal RNA
Source: RNAcentral